UUGGAGGGCAAGUCUGGUGCCAGCAGCCGCGGUAAUUCCAGCUCCAAUAGCGUAUAUUAAAGUUGUUGCAGUUAAAAAGCUCGUAGUUGAAUUUCGAGAUCAAUUUGUCGGUCGUGCCUCGGUACGUACUGGCAUUAUUGAUUUCUCCCUUCUGAAGAACCGCGAUGUCAUUAAUUUGGUGUCGUGGGGAAUCAGGACUGUUACUUUGAAAAAAUUAGAGUGUUUAAAGCAGGCGCACGCUUGAAUACAUUAGCAUGGAAUAAUGAAAUAGGACGUUUGAUUCUAUUUUGUUGGUUUCUAGGAUCGACGUAAUGAUUAAUAGGGAUAGUUGGGGGCAUUAGUAUUCAAUUGUCAGAGGUGAAAUUCUUAGAUUUAUUGAAGACUAACUACUGCGAAAGCAUUUGCCAAGGAUGUUUUCAUUAAUCAAGAACGAAAGUUAGGGGAUCGAAGACGAUCAGAUACCGUCGUAGUCUUAACCAUAAACUAUGCCGACUAGGGAUCGGAUGAUGUUAAUUUUUUAAUGACUCAUUCGGCGCCUUACGGGAAAC
Molecule: ribosomal RNA, 548 nt
Filed under: uncultured Glomeromycotina
Lineage: Eukaryota; Fungi; Glomeromycota
Description: SSU rRNA
Rfam family: Eukaryotic small subunit ribosomal RNA
Source: RNAcentral